AUGCGCCUUCAUGGGUGGGUUCAGGACCACAAAGUGCUGAUGCUUGUGGACUCUGGCUCCUCACGCAGCUUCAUCUGCGAGAGUCUAGCUGAGCACUUGCAAGGUGUGGAGGCGUGCAAAAGCACUAUGGCUGUCAGAGUGGCAAAUGGCGGAGUGAUGAAGUGCAACAGGGAGUUGCCGGCCUGUCCUUGGCGCACGCAAGGGGUAACCUUCCACACCGACCUUAAGGUCCUCCCCUUGGGCUGCUACGACGUCUUUUUGGGCAUCGACUGGCUCGCCCAGCACAGCCCAAUGAGUGUGCACUGGAAGGAGAAGACCAUGAAGUUUGACCAUGGCGGCACACAAGUCCAACUGCACGGAGCUCGAGCGGAUACUACACAAUGCCAGCAACUAUCCGGAGAUGAUCUAAACCAGCUCCUCCAGCGCUCGGGCGUGGCGCGUGUCGUUCAUCUUUGUGCGACGACUGUGGAGGGAGUCAAAGUUACAGAGCUGCCAGUGCCUGCGGACGUUGCCGACCUGCUCCGAGACUACCAACACUUGUUUGAGGAGCCACGCGGGUUACCUCCCCGACGCGCCUUCGACCAUGCCAUUCCUCUUCUGCCUGGAGCGAAGCCGGUCAAUGUCAGGCCAUACCGCUACAGUCCGGCCCAGAAGGAUGAAGUGGAACGGCAGGUGGCAGACAUGCUGGCCCAGGGCAUUAUUGUGCCCAGUUCGAGUCCCUUCGCGUCGCCAGUCCUGCUGGUUCAGAAGAAGGACUUGACUUGGCGCUUUUGUGUCGACUACCGGCACCUGAACGCGGUGACCGUGAAGAAUCGAUUCCCCUUGCCAGUCAUCGAUGAGCUCCUUGAUGAGCUUGCGGGCGCCAAGUUCUUCACCAGCCUCGACUUGCGCUCGGGGUACCACCAGAUUCGCAUGAGACCCGAAGACGAGCACAAAACGGCAUUCAAGACCCACAACGGCCACUACGAGUUCCGGGUUCUCUCCUAUGGCCUUACGGGUGGCCCGUCAACGUUCCAAGGGGGGAUGAAUAUCAUGAUGGCACCCUCAGCCGACACGGAGUCCUAG
RNAcentral lists this ribosomal RNA (1065 nucleotides) under Triticum aestivum (bread wheat). Its description in RNAcentral is "partial small subunit ribosomal RNA". The record is from RNAcentral. Lineage: Eukaryota; Viridiplantae; Streptophyta; Magnoliopsida; Poales; Poaceae.